This 2724-nucleotide long non-coding RNA is filed under the name Panax ginseng (ginseng). Its description in RNAcentral is "long non-coding RNA (PGIN_LNC017379)". Lineage: Eukaryota; Viridiplantae; Streptophyta; Magnoliopsida; Apiales; Araliaceae. The record is from RNAcentral.
CAAAUUUCAAGAUAGUCAUCGACUCCCAAACAAGACAAUAGUAGUAUCAAUAUGCCUGCCGUCAAUCAUAAGUUUCUCUCUAUUAUAUUUCCAAAUAUUUUUUAGGGCGCAGAAUCAUUACAACGUCGUUUUUGGCUGUCUUAUCUGAAAAAAUUACCCAAUCUUCUUCCCCUUUGUCCUCGUCAAUUAGGUCGCACAGAAAACUUCUUGUUGUGGUUUGAAUCUUCUCUCAGUUCUUGUGUUUCUUGAUAUUUCAAUCUGCUUUGAUUCGUACCUGAUCAAUAUUAUCUGGGUUCGGUUACACUUAAUUUUGUGGUUGUUGAUUGAAAAGGGGAAACUGAAAACUGUAGCUGCUGGAAACGACCUCAUUGUUUAAUUUUGGUUUUUUAGGGAUUAACAUUAUUUUCUCCAGACUCGGAGUUGGCUGGGAUUUCCAAUCCUGAGAAGGUAAAACGAUUACCUGUCAUUAUUGUUUCUUUAUGUUUCUAUUUUUUUUUUCUGUUUGCAGUUGUUGUAAAGUCUUAUUAUGUAACAUUUAUUUUAGACAAGUGGUAACAAAACUUGGUAAAUUUGUACAUUUUAAAUUUCAUAGAUUUAGAUGGCAUAAUUUGGGUCCUAUAAUACUAGUGAAAUUAUAGUGGAAGUGGAACUAUUCUAGCUUCCCAUAAGACCAAUUUAUUUUAGUUUCACUUUGGUUGUCUGAGGGUUGGUAUUUCUUGAUAGCUUUAGUUUGGUAGUCUACAAGGUUGGUAACAUUGAAGAGGAUGUUGUACGCGGAUUAUGUCUAUGAUGAAAAAAAAACAUAAUGUAGAAGAGAGAUAGGGGCUCAUUGGUGCUUCAGAAUGUGAUAUGAUUGAAGAAUUAAACGAGCUAUUUUCCAACAGUGCUACAAGACUGAUAUAAAGCUAUCCAUGUUUUGUAGUCUUAUGUUACUUAAUUAAGAAAUUCUAAGCAUAGCUAAGACUAGCCAUGUUUUUGUGGUCUGAUAUGUUCUUUCAUAGAAAAAUUAUUAUGUGUACAGUUCGAGUGUAGUUAAACUUUAAUUUUAGAUACAUGGGCUCACAAGCUAUUUCAUCCCGCACGAUUUGGAAAAUUUAGCGUGAGAGCCAACUAGCCAAGUUACAGUCAUAAAAGAACCAUUUGAGAAAUUAGAGGUGGUUUUAGUUAAAGGCAAUUUUAGAUUGUGUCAACCAAGUUAGUUUGAAGUUAUUCUUCUGGAAAAGAAAAAGAUCUGUGACACUUAUUUAUAAAAGAAGAGUUUUGACUGAUGAAAGAGAUAUUUAGGUCACAAAUUAGUUACAGGCUAAACAUAUUCCUGAGUUCACUUGGCCAGGAUAAAUAAAUUAUCAAAUUAACAAGAUUAAAAUAUCUGACGUUGAAUUGGGGGAUAGAUCAUGUUUACUGGAGAUAUAGUAAUAUGGUGAGCAUAUAGGUAAUUCAAAUAGUUAAAUAUGCCUUAUUAUGUAGACUCCAGCUUUAUGGUGUGGUCCAACAAGAUACAUAAGAUAAAUUAUCAAGAUUCAUCUAAUGAUGGUGACUAGGAAGGGUAAUGCUAACUGACUUUGUAUAUUUUUUAGGAUAAAACUUGCUGGAGUUAUAUUAAUACCGUGUUCUAUAUUCAUAUGCAUAACUAUGUUGGAAUCCGGUUGUUGAAUGUGCCUGAUUGUCCAAAUUUAAUCAUUUACGUGUUUGGUAGUGGGAAUGGGGAUCAUAGAUGUCGAAUGAGCCUAGGAUAACAACAGGAGAUCUCAUUGAGCAUCUCACCAUGCAUAGUUUCUUGACCAUGUGGCCAUACUCAUAUAGCCCAUUUUAGAUCCCUAUUGGACUGGUUGAGGAAAUAACAAGCAAGUUCAGGAGGUUUGGUGAGUUAAAUCAUGUCCAAAAAUGCUUACCAAGUGUUGUGUACUUUGAUCCAUCUCCCUACUGUUAGAAUUUAGAGAUCUGUACUAAUUUCAGAGUGGAACUGGUAAUAAUUCAACCUGGGGUAAAUGAGAGACAUAGUCAACUUAGCUAGGAUCAAAUCAGUUGCGCUCUUUAGAUGUCUUGCCUUAUUAUAUCCUAGAGUUUAGGUUUCAAAUCCAUUUACUUGAACUUCAACGGUAAAUCCUUGAACUAUAGCAUAUUAGAUCUUUUUUCCGUUUUAGGGUGUGAUGCAUUGGUGUUUGUAGAUGUGCCAUAGCAAGUUAUGUUGCUCCAGUUGACUUUGAUGGUUUGCGGUGUACAUUAAAUAACCCGUACUAGAUAAGAUUGGUAUCUCUUGCCUACUUGAAAUGAUUAUCUUCAACAUUAUGUUUGUAUUGUUUUAUCUUCAACAUUGCAAAUCAAAAAAAAUAGUUAGGAAACUAGCGCCAGAAAUUUUGCUCUCUUUUUGUGACACUUGAAUAAAUGAUCUAUUAAAAUUUGCAAGUUUUUAUUUCGUUGCUUAUUUCUUCUACUUCACAUUUGAUCUUUAAGUAUUUAAUUACUGUUUAACACUGAUAUUUCUGUCCAUAAAGUUAGUUCAUGAAAUAAUGCUAUUGGGUCUAAUCCAUUUUUAGUUCUUACUUGGACCAAAUUCAUAUUAUGUGUUAUCACAUUCCUUGUGUUAUGCAGGAAGCAUGACGAGCAUUAAGGAUUGGAUUUUGUCUCAGCUAGUGUCCAAGUCAUUGGUCUCAGCAAGACCAUUGUCAGGCAGUGGUAGUUUUUUUGAAGAGGAAUCUUUUCAUGAUGAGUUUGGCAACCAAG